RNAcentral lists this long non-coding RNA (208 nucleotides) under Lathyrus oleraceus (garden pea). Its description in RNAcentral is "Pisum sativum (pea) long non-coding RNA (PSAT_LNC042059)". Lineage: Eukaryota; Viridiplantae; Streptophyta; Magnoliopsida; Fabales; Fabaceae. The record is from RNAcentral.
UUUCUUUAAGGGUUGAAGGUUAAAAGAGUCUCGGUCUUUUUAUGUUUGUUAGUUCUGUUGAGUCGAUUUGAGGGAUUUUGGAAGGUAUGUAGGAUGCAGAUUUGAAGACCCAAGGUCCAAAAUUUGUUAUGGAGUGAUGAUGAUUUUAUUAGAAAUCGGGAUUUCGGUUAGAAGGUUGUUAAGAGUUGUCGUUCUGUUAUGAAAGUUG